UUGGAGGGCAAGUCUGGUGCCAGCAGCCGCGGUAAUUCCAGCUCCAAUAGCGUAUAUUAAAGUUGUUGCAGUUAAAAAGCUCGUAGUUGAAUUUCGGGACCAAUUUGUUGGUCGUGCCUCGGUACGUACUGGUAUUAUUGGUUUCUCCCUUCUGAAGAACCUCGAUGUCAUUAAUUUGGUGUCGUGGGGAAUCAGGACUGUUACUUUGAAAAAAUUAGAGUGUUUAAAGCAGGCAUACGCUUGAAUACAUUAGCAUGGAAUAAUGAAAUAGGACGUUUGAUUCUAUUUUGUUGGUUUCUAGGAUCGACGUAAUGAUUAAUAGGGAUAGUUGGGGGCAUUAGUAUUCAAUUGUCAGAGGUGAAAUUCUUGGAUUUAUUGAAGACUAACUACUGCGAAAGCAUUUGCCAAGGAUGUUUUCAUUAAUCAAGAACGAAAGUUAGGGGAUCGAAGACGAUCAGAUACCGUCGUAGUCUUAACCAUAAACUAUGCCGACUAGGGACCGGAUGAUGUUAAUUUUUUAAUGACUCAUUCGGCGCCUUACGGGAAACCAAAGUGUUUGGGUUC
RNAcentral lists this ribosomal RNA (564 nucleotides) under uncultured Glomeromycotina. Its description in RNAcentral is "SSU rRNA". It matches the Rfam family "Eukaryotic small subunit ribosomal RNA", at positions 548 to 1114 of the family's 1831-position model. The record is from RNAcentral. Lineage: Eukaryota; Fungi; Glomeromycota.